This 254-nucleotide ribosomal RNA is filed under the name uncultured bacterium. RNAcentral describes it as "partial 16S ribosomal RNA". It matches the Rfam family "Bacterial small subunit ribosomal RNA", at positions 524 to 776 of the family's 1533-position model. The record is from RNAcentral.
GACGAACCGUGCGAACGUUAUUCGGAAUCACUGGGCUUAAAGCGCGUGUAGGCGGGCCGGCACGUCGAGCGCUGAAAUCCCCCGGCUCAACCGGGGAAGGGGCCUCGAUACGACCGGCCUGGAGCGAGGUAGGGGGCGCCGGAACUCACGGUGGAGCGGUGAAAUGCGUUGAGAUCGUGAGGAACGCCCGUGGCGAAAGCGGGCGCCUGGACCUCCGCUGACGCUGAGACGCGAAAGCCAGGGGAGCGAACGGG